This 16270-nucleotide long non-coding RNA is filed under the name Solanum tuberosum (potato). Its description in RNAcentral is "long non-coding RNA (STUB_LNC010321)". Lineage: Eukaryota; Viridiplantae; Streptophyta; Magnoliopsida; Solanales; Solanaceae. The record is from RNAcentral.
UCCCAAUGGCUGAGAACAACACAACAAAAAGCAAUGGCCAAAUAAGUGUUCAAGAUGCACAAGUGGCUGUGGUUAUGGUGCCACUUCCAGCACAAGGCCAUCUCAACCAGCUUCUCCACCUCUCGAGGCUAAUCACCUCAUAUAAUAUCCCAGUGCACUAUGUUGGAGCAACCCCUCAUAUUCGCCAGGUCAAGUUACGUGUCCAUGGUUUCGACCCUGUUACUACUAAAAACCUACAUUUUCAUGAAUUCCCUACACCACCUUUUGAAAACCCCCCUCCAAAUCCAAAUGCUUCUCAUAAAUUUCCUAAUCAUAUACUCCCUUUACUUUAUGCAACAAUCCAUUUCCGUGAGCCAGUGUGCUCUCUUGUAAACCAACUCUUAGGCGCCAAUCAUCGGAGAGUGAUUGUUAUUUAUGAUUCUCUGAUGACUUGGGUGUUGGAGGAUAUACCAGCAAUUCCAAAUGCCGAGUGCUACCGUUUUAACAGUUUCUCAGCUUUCUAUAUGUUUUCAUCCUAUUGGGAAGCCAAAGGAAAACCUUUCCAACCUGAAACUGAGAUAUUUGAGGACAUUAUAUCAAGAGAAAACUGUGCUACCCCAGAGUUAUGGGAAUUGUGGAAUAAACAAGGAUCCCUUGAAGGGAAAAUUUGCUCUGGAGAACUUUACAAUACAUCCAGAGUAAUAGAAGGUUCAUACCUUGAUUUAGUAGCCAAAGAAACUAAUGGCUUAAACCUAUGGGCUAUUGGUCCAUUCAAUCCGUUGUUGUCUGAGCAGAACAAAGACUCAAACAAACAACAUCAAACCUUGUAUUGGCUUGACAAACAAGAAACAAAUUCGGUAAUCUAUGUGUCUUUUGGAUCAACUACUACCUUGUCUAAUAAAGAAAUCAAAGAGCUCGCCAUCGGGUUAGAGAAAAGCAUGCAAAAGUUCAUUUGGGUUCUCAGAGAUGCUGACAAAGGAGAUGUUUUUGCAGGUGAAGAAAGGAGAGCUCAGCUGCCAGAAGGUUAUGAAGAAAGAAUAAAAGGAAGAGGAAUUAUUGAAAGAGAUUGGGCACCUCAGUUGGAAAUUUUGGCACAUCCUUCCACAGGUGGUUUUAUGAGUCAUUGCGGAUGGAAUUCGUGCAUGGAAAGCAUUUCCAUGGGAGUUCCUAUAGCAGCCUGGCCAAUGCAUUCAGAUCAACCAAGGAAUUCUCAGCUGGUAACAAAGGUCCUGAAAACUGGCCUAACUGUGAGGCAUUGGGCACGUCGGGAUGAAUUGGUUGCAUCAGAAAUAGUUGAAAAUGCUGUGAGAACUUUGAUGGCUUCACCUGAGGGAGAUGAGAUGAGGAAGAGAGCAUCAGAAUUAAGCAUUGCUGUCAAACAAUCAGUCAUGGAUGGGGAAGGUUACGGUGCGGAGAUGAAUUCUUUUAUCGCACACAUUACUCGAGAACUUUCUCACCAGAAUUGACCAAUUGAUAGCAUAAGUGGUUCAACCUAUGAGACUUUAUCAAUGCUCUAUCACCAUCUGAGUGGGUUCAGUGUCCCCUUUUAUGCACAUCACUGCAUGUAUGUUUAAGGAUAAAAAGCUUUUCUUUAUGAGUUCCUUAUAUUUUUUAGUAUAAAUGUAAAGGUCCUCCUUUACUAGCAACUAGUUCUUUUGGCCAGAGAUAUAAAAUAUUAGAAGCUGUUUGUGUAAUCUUUCAAGAACUUUUUGCUUGUGACUACUGAGUGAUAUACUAUGUAUUUUCCAUUCUGCCAGACUUCUCAUCUUGUUAAGUGUAAUUUACAUUAUUUUCUCAACAUUAAUACUACUCAUAUUUUGCAUCUAGACAAAUAAGGAAGAGAUACGGUAAGCUUUCUUGAGAGAUUAGAUUUGAAAUUGCAAUUUGCUCUGUUGCAAAAGGAGCUGUAAAAGGGGGAAAAUCAGAAGAGUUUGAUAUAAGGUAUCUACUUUGAUCUGUAUUUCAGAUUUAGUGGUAACUGUGGAACAUAUUCAAUUCCUUGACCAAGUAAGAUUGCUAAAGUAUUUUUGAAUCUUUUGUGUCUUACAUUCUAAAAAAAACCUAAAAUACAGGAAAUGUUAGGGGUGCGUCCUUUUUCCGCAUCUUGCUAAGGGGGAUUUUGGGGCACCGAAUUUCUCUUCCUUUAUGUUUCAGUGUGGGUUAGUUUAGUCCAUAUUUCAAAUUUGAGACCUCAAAAGAUUACCUGCUUAAUCAACUAUAGUUAUAUGUAUGCUUCAUAAGUGACAAAACAUAAAUAAUUAAUGGUGUAUGCUAUUAUUAUAUUUAACAAAAAACAACAUCGUUCGUUAUAGUACAUGAUACUUGAGUUUUCCAAAGUGAAUAGAAAAAUGGUAUAUGUGAAGCAAUAAUUAGUCAUGUGUUUCAUUUUAUGUGUUACUAGCUAGCUAUCAAAAUUGACACUUAUAGCAUUGACUAAUUUAAGUUGCAACCAAAACCCACUAUUAGUGGCAACCAUUAUAGGGAUUACCGAUGAUCAAAAUAGCAGGUAAAAACAUACUUUCAUCUGAAACUUAAAUAAGAAUAAGCAACAACUGCAUAUACCCCUAAUAUUGACAUUUAGUGGCGAGAAAUUUUGCCACAGAAACAAGAUACUAGCAACGACUAAUUUUGUCACUAAAACAUUCUUUUAUUGGCGACUAUUAUAGGUAUUAGCAACUACUUAUUUUGCCACUAAAACAUUCUUUUAUUGGCGCCUAUUAUGAGCAUUAGCGGCGAUUAUUCUUGCCACUAAAACAAACUAUUAGUGGCGACUAUUAUAUGUAUUAGCAGCGACAGCUUUUGCCACUAAAACAUUAUUUUAGUGGCCACUAGUAUAGGUAUUACAACGACUAAUUUUGCCACCAAACAUUCUUUUAGUGCCGACUAUUAUGAGUAUUAGCGGCGAUUAUUCUUUUCACUAAAACAAACUAUUAGUGGCGACUAUUAUAUGUAUUAGCAGCGACUAAGUAGUGACUUUUCCGUAAAAUUUGUGACUUUUAAGAAGGGUAAAAUAAAUAAGAAUCUUGAUUUGUGACGGCGUCGCAUAGGCAGGUCGGCUGUUGUAAACAAAUGCACGUUUAUGAAGAGUGGCAAGAGUGGUAACAAAAUGAACGGAAAAAGCAGCGGUUGAAGGCUGAAACUACGUUCCUAUUGUUGAGGGGGAAGGACAGUUUUGGAAAUAAAUAAAUAAAAAAAGAAUCCUUACUUCUAGUGGCGCGACGUCACCGGGUUGAGGGUUCUCUUUUAUAUAUAUAUAUAUAUAUUCUUUAAUUUAAUAUAAUUUUAUUUUAUUUUGAAAUUAAUGAUCUGAAACAAAUCUUAGAAAUUUGUGUAGCGAUAAAUUAUUUCAAUUAAGAAUAAAAGAAAAAAAUUAAAGUUAAAAUAUGCCUAAUUAUAGAAAGGUGACAACUUUUUUUUUGUCACGAAUUAAAAAGAAAAAUAUGUCACAUUAAUUUGAACAAAUAAAGUAUACAACAAUUUCAUUAUUUUUUAGAAAAUAAAUGAUACUAACGUUUAACUUUCUUUUUUUAAUAAAAUAAAAUAAAACGCAAAUAGUAAAGAGAUUUUGUGGAUCUCCCACCAAACGUUUUCUUCAAAGUUGAAUCAUGUAGUUGAAAAUGGAUUAUAUAAUUUAAUGUUUAUUUAUAGGUGCAUUAGAGCAUUAAGAUGAGGUAAUUAUUCGGUGUAUUUUUAAAAUCAGCUUAUUUAAAAAAAAUAAAAAAUUAUUCGGUGUAUUUUAAAAAAAUACUUUUUGGAAGUAUCAGUUUAUUUGAAUAAUCAAUUUGAAAAAUAUUUAUAUUAAAACUAAAACAAUUAGUAUUCGACCAAAAUUCUAAAAGUGUUUCGAAGGUUAAAAACUAUUUCGCUUCAAGGAAAACCAACUUCUACUUUAGAUGAAAACACAUAUAUUUUUCCCAGAAGCUUUGAUCAAACACUUCAAUUCUCUAAGUGGACUCUAAAGAAGGUGAUAUGUUUGCAGUCUUAUAACUACUAUGUGAAAGAUAGAAAUAUUGUUAUCGAUAUACCUUGACUCAAGUAAAAUAUAUAAAAAUCAAGUAUCUUGAGAACUUAUUUCUAAUAAAUCCUCGGCUCAACUCUUUAAAAUAACCACAUAUUUUAUUUUAAGAAAUUCCCGACUCAACUUUCUAAAAUAAUCAUUCUUUCUUUAGAAAAAAAACUUCUUAUUUCAUUGAAACUUGACCAGACAGACUAUAAAUUAGUAUUACCUAAUUGGUGAAGAUAUCUAGAAUUUCCUUUUGUGAUAACAUCAAAUAAUGGAGAAACUACAACAACUGCUUAAUAUGGACAAAAACUGAAAAGAAAGUCUAUAAUGUCUGCUCCCAUAACAAACAUAUUAGUAUUUUGUCCUAUGAUAGAAGAUUCUAAUAAUAAAAUAAUGAAGAUCUACAAAUUAUAUAUAUUUGGAUUUUUUUACAAUGAGGAUGAUGAUAUUUUUCUUUGGUAGCUAACAACAUAUUUGUAAAUAACAUGCCAUUAUGGUUAUUAUUCAGUGAAUUUCUCGAUAAAUAUACAAAGUUUAGACUAAAGUUAUUGAGUUUUGCUGAACAUUGCGGCAAGAACAUGGGAAAGAGUAUGUAAUCAACUCAAUAUUGACUCUCUCCAGUCUCCUUUAGCACAAAACUCAAAAGAAAAACUAAGAAGCUGCAGUCCAAACAUAUAGUAUGUUAAUAUUUGAAUUGUGAACAUACAAAAGUAUGUUUUCUACAUAAAUUCAUAGUAUAGAGAAUUGAGGGUAUAACUUUUUUCGUAACCACUUGUCGGUAGUUCUACAACACAAUAACAUAUCCAGUGUAAUCCCACUUGUCGGUGGUUUUAUUACAAAAAAAACAAAGAGAUUUGAUUGUGAUUGCAUACAGAUGCCUGUUCAUUUUGUUGAGAAGGUAUCCUAUUAAUGAUUUUAAGUUUUUUAGCAGCCCACCAGCAAGUACAAGUUGGCAUUGGACUCAUGCAUUAUAAAAGAAUCUAUGUUUUCACCUAGACUACAUGUAACUCGAGACACUUCAGAAGCUCAGAUACUCAUACAACUGCAAAAUUUCAAAACAUUUCCCAAUGGCUGAGAACUACACAACAAAAAGAAAUGGCCAAAUAAGUGUUCAAGAUGCACAAGUGGCUGUGGUUAUGGUGCCACUUUCAGCACAAGGCCAUCUCAACCAGCUUCUCCACCUCUCGAGGCUCAUCACCUCGUAUAAUAUCCCAGUCCAUUAUGUUGGAGCAACCACUCAUAUUCGCCAGGCUAAGUUUCGUGUCCAUGGUUUCGACCCUGGCACAGCUAAAAACCUAUAUUUUCAUGAAUUCCCUACACCACCUUUCGAAAAUCCUCCUCCAAAUCCUAAUGCUUCAAAUAAAUUUCCUAACCAAUUAAUCCCUUCAUUUUAUGCAACAAUCCAUCUCCGUGAGCCAGUGUGCUCUCUUGUACGCCAACUACUAGGCGUCAAUCAUCGGAGAGUGAUUGUUAUUUAUGAUUCUAUGAUGAGUUGGGUAGUAGAGGAUGUACCAGCAAUUCCAAAUGCUGAGUGCUACCGUUUUAAUAGUAUCUCAGCUUUCCAUACGUUUUCAUGCAUCUGGGAAUCCAGAGGGAAACCUUUACAAGCUGGAACUGAAAUAUUCGAGGACAUUUCAUCAAACGAAAACUGUGCUACCCCAGAGUUAUGGGAAUUAUGGAGUAAACAAAAUUCCCUUGAAGGGAAAAUUAGCUCUGGAGAACUUUACAAUUCAUCCAGAGUAAUAGAAGGUUUAUACCUUGAUUUAGUAGCCAAAGAAAUUAAUGGCUUAAACCUACGGGCUAUUGGUCCAUUCAAUCCGUUGUUGCUGACUGAGCAGGACAAUGAUUCAAAUAAACGUCACAAAACCUUGGAUUGGCUUGACAAACAAGAACCGGACUCAGUGAUAUAUGUGUCUUUUGGAACAUCUACUUCUUUGUCGAAUGAAGAAAUUGAACAACUCGCCAUUGGGUUAGAGAAAAGCCUGCAAAAGUUCAUUUGGGUUCUCAGAGAUGCUGACAAAGGAGAUGUUUUUGCAGGUGAAGAAAGGAGAGCUCGGCUGCCGGAAGGUUAUGAAGAAAGAAUAAAAGGAAGAGGAAUUAUUGCAAGAGAUUGGGCACCUCAGUUGGAAAUUUUGGCACAUCCUUCCACAGGUGGUUUUAUGAGUCAUUGCGGAUGGAAUUCGUGCAUGGAAAGCAUUUCCAUGGGAGUUCCUAUAGCAGCCUGGCCAAUGCACUCAGAUCAACCAAGGAAUUCUCAGCUGGUAACAAAGUUCCUGAAAAUUGGCCUAAAUUUGAGACAUGGGGCAUGUCAGGAUGAAUUGGUUACAUCAGAAAUGGUUGAAAAUGCUGUGAGAACUUUGAUGGCUUCACCUGAGGGAGGUGAGAUGAGGAAGAGAGCAUCAGAAUUAAGUGUUGCUGUCAAACAAUCAGUCAUGGAUGGGGAAGGUACUGGUACAGAGAUGGAUUCUUUUAUCACACACAUUACUCGAUAACUUCUCAUUUGUAUUGAACAAUUGGUUGCACACUACCAUCUAGUUAACAUAAGUGAUACAACCUAUGACACUGUAUCAAUGCUCUAUCACCAUCCGAGUGGGUUCAGUGUCCACCCUACUGGCACCCCUUUAUGCACAUCACGGCAUGUAUGUUGAGGAUAAAAACCUUUCCUUUAUGAGUUCUUUGUAUUUGUUAAUAUAAAAGUGGAUGUCCUCCCAGAUAAAUAAAAUAUUGGAUGCUGUUUGUGAAUUCUUACAAGAAUUUUGUGCUUGUGACCUGAAUAACAUAGUAUGUUCUUUCAGGACUUUUAUAGCUUCUUGUCUUUAACUCUGUGACCUUGUAUUUGAUAUUCUGCCAGACUUCUCAUGUUGGUAGGAGUAGACAAUCUUUUUAAGUGUACUUUACAAUAUUUUCUCAACAUUUAUAGAAUACUCUUUUUUGCAUCAAGACAAAUACGGAAGAGCUCUGGUAUUCUAUGAAGUUUUUCAAUUAAAAUAUGAAUCACUUUGUAACUAUACUAACUUUUAACCUUAGCAACACUUUUUCAAAUCUUACGAUGAGUGAUCCAUGAAGCUGUCAGAAAAUCAGAAGAGUUUGACACAAGGUAGCUCUGCUUGUAUCUAUUUUUAUCUGAAGAUGCUUAUUUCAGAUUUAUUAAGUGGUCAAAUUAGUGGGUGACUGAGGAAGGUCUUUGAUUCCUUGACCAACUAAGAUUGCUAAGCAUUUUUUAAUCUUUUGUGUCUUACCCUCUAAAACGAAGCUAAAUUACAGGAAAAUACUACAUAAUGAAGUCUAUUAUGACUGCUCCUUGACUAAAGUUUGCUCCAUUAUGUAAUACUCCUACUAUAUUGUCCUACGAUAAAAGAAUCUGAAGAUAGCAGUGUUUAUAAGAACCACAAAACUAAUAUUGAUAUUUCUUUGAUUCUUGCACUUGAAAUAAACAUAUAUUUGAUUUUUACAAUUAUGAUGAUGAGGAUGUAAAUUCGACUGAGAUUACAAUGACAACUAUCUCAGUAUCUUUAAUACUUACGUGGGUGUAUACUUUUUUUUUCUUCAAAUAAUAUUUUUAUGGUCUGCCUUUGCUGUUGGUUUUUCCUCCAUUUUGUAUAAAACUCAACCAGUUGCUGUUGGUUUUACUGAUAGACAACAAAGGAUUUGAUUGUGACUACUUUAAGUAAUACAUUUUGCAGCAAUAUGUCAAAUAACAGAAGUUAAAAAAUUUCAAUAUCUUUUUAACAAUUAAGCUUUCUAGCAGCCGGCCAGAUAAUUCUAGUUGUUGGAUUCAUGCAUUAGACAUAAUCCUUAUAAGAUCAUCUAUGUUUUUCUCCUACAUAUAACUCAAGGCACUUCAGAAACGGCAGACACUCAUCAAACUACAAAAUUUCUAAGCAUUUCCCAAUGGCCGAGAACUACCCCAUAAAAAGCGAUGGCAAAAAGGGUGUUCAGGAUGCACAAGUGGCAGUGGUUAUGGUGCCACUUUCAGCACAAGGCCAUCUCAACCAGCUUCUCCACCUCUCGAGGCUCAUCACCUCGUAUAAUAUCCCAGUCCAUUAUGUUGGAGCAACCACUCAUAUUCGCCAGGCUAAGUUUCGUGUCCAUGGCUUCGAUCCUGUCACAGCUAAAAAUCUAUAUUUUCAUGAAUUCCCUACACCACCUUUUGAAAAUCCCCCUCCAAAUCCUAAUGCUUCAAAUAAAUUUCCUAACCAAUUAAUCCCUUCAUUUUAUGCAACAAUCCAUCUCCGUGAGCCAGUGUGCUCUCUUGUACGCCAACUACUAGGCGUCAAUCAUCGGAGAGUGAUUGUUAUUUAUGAUUCUAUGAUGAGUUGGGUAGUAGAGGAUGUGCCAGCAAUUCCAAAUGCUGAGUGCUACUGUUUUAAUAGUAUCUCAGCUUUCCAUACGUUUUCAUGCAUCUGGGAAUCCAGAGGAAAACCUUUACAAGCUGGAACAGAAAUAUUUGAGGGCAUUUCAUCAAACAAAAACUGUGCUACCCCAGAGUUAUGGGAAUUAUGGAGGAAACAAGAAGCCCUAAUGAGGAAAGUUAGCUCCGGAGAACUUUACAAUUCAUCUAGAGUAAUUGAAGGUUUAUACCUUGAUUUAGUAGCCAAAGAAAAUGAUGGACUAAACCAAUGGGCUCUUGGUCCAUUCAAUCCGUUGUUGUCUGAGCAGAACAAAAACUCAAAUAAACACCAUCAAACCCUGUAUUGGCUUGACAAACAAGAAACAAACUCGGUAAUAUAUGUGUCUUUUGGAACAACUACUUCCUUGUCGAAUGAAGAAAUUGAAGAACUCGCUGUUGGAUUAGAGAAAAGUAUGCAAAAGUUCAUUUGGGUCCUCAGAGAUGCUGACAAAGGAGAUGUGUUUGCAGGUGAAGAAAGGAGAGCUCAAUUGCCUGAUGGUUAUGAAGAGAGGCUAAAAGGAAGAGGAAUUAUUGUAAGAGAUUGGGCACCUCAGUUGGAAAUUUUGGCACAUCCUUCCACAGGUGGUUUUAUGAGUCAUUGCGGAUGGAAUUCGUGCAUGGAAAGCAUUUCUAUGGGAGUUCCUAUAGCAGCUUGGCCAAUGCAUUCAGAUCAACCAAGGAAUUCUCAGUUAGUAACUAAGUUCCUAAAAAUCGGCCUAAUUGUGAGGCAUUGGGCAUGUCGAGAUGAAUUGGUUACAUCAGAAAUAGUUGAAAAUGCUGUAAGAACUUUGAUGGCUUCACCUGAGGGAGAUGAAAUGAGGAAGAGAGCAUCAGAAUUAAGUAAUGUUGUCAAACAAUCAGUGGUGGAUGGGGGUGUUAACCGUGAGGAGAUGGAUUCUUUUAUCACUCACAUUACUCGAUAAGUUUCCCAUCUAGAUUAAUUUCAUCAAUGGUCAUCGAACUAAGCAUUUAUUGCAUGAAAGUGUGGCUUUGAUGAAGUCAGUUAUGAAAAAUUGGUAAUUCAAUCAUAUUUAGAGGACACUAAUGUAUUUUUCUUUAUAUUUUACUUUCUUCAUUUUGUCUAUGUUCCACCAAAAUCAUAGCUUAUACUUCAACAACCAUCUUUCUCUCUCUCUCUCUGUUUCUCUCUUUGUUGUAGGGUGGCGUCUGGUUGAGUGAGGACUAAUAUAUGUGUAAUAUUAGUUAUCCGUGAAACACAUAAUUUUACUUGUAUUUUUCCUUUACUAAAAUUUUAAAGAGUUUAUUAGCAGGAUAAUAAACUACAACAACAUGGCCGGCCACUAGCUAGGCCAAUAUCCCUGUGAAUCAAAUAUGUGAGAAAUGAGGCAUUCCUCUGUUCUCCUUAACAUUAACUUCAUAGAUCCAAAAUAUACGUAUACUGUAAUAUGUAGUAACAGUUACUCCUUGUUUCAUUUCUCUACGAGGUCCAACUUGAUAUAUUUUGUUGUGAAUCAAGUCGACUUUGUACGGGCUUAUGUGUUAGAAGUAGCGAAUGAGGUUGAUUUGGAUGGGAUAAUUGGGCCGCGUAAAAUAUUAGAGAGUUUUUUUUGGGAUUCAGGCCCAAUUAUCAAUUGGUUAAAUAGGAAUAGGAGUUAGACAAAAAGGUUAUGUGUAUUAUGAAGAAACUGUCUUUUCCUCUCAUUUUCUUUCUAGAGUCUUAACUUCUCAUCCUCAUUCUUAUGUCUAUCUUUAGUUACUUGUUAUUUCAGUACUUCUCUUUGUAAAUCAAGUGUUGUUAUUAUAAUUUGGUUAUCAAUGGAUAUAAGGUUUAUGUAUCUGUAUUGAGAAUUUGGGUUUGUUUCAUAUUCGUUUUUCUUACUCACCAAAGAGCCCAAGUUCAAAUCUUGGCACAUUCUUUUGUCUUUUAUUGAUUUCUCGGUCUUCUAUGCGACUAGCCAAGUAGUCAUAUUCAUUCCUGUUGACACGAAUAGCAACGAAAGAGAAGGAAAUGACAUUUACAGAAGUUGAUUCACAGUUGAAUACUUCAAUCCCAUCAGCUAAUCUAAGCAAGAACCUGGAACUAAAGGAGGAUCUUUAUCCAGCAGUGUAAGUUCUACACUAUGGGCCUUAAUGUGCUCCAUAUCUAUCAAAUUUUCCUCGUAUACCAAACACAUCGAAUACAGGAUUGAACUGAAUCAAACUAACAAAAUUAACAAGUAACUAUGAAUGUGAUUUAGAAAUUAAGUCUAGAAGGCAGCCAUAACAUUUUGUACCUGAAAAGCAGCAGGGGAGGGUGCUUGAGCUCGAGUAUCCGGAGUUAUGGUUGUCCUGCAAUCAUUUUGGCAAUCUGGGAAUCAAUCUUUUAACUCACUAAACACCAUUUUCUCCUAGACUUCAUCCUUUUCACAAUUCUAUGUCCAUUUACUGCAUUCUUCAUAUCAAAUCAGGAGCACAAGUACUCUUUUUGGUGUUUUUUUUCUCUCAGUCAUUUUGUCAAGCACUUUGAGUGCUUUGUAAAAAAUCUUAGCAUACAAUACAAUACAAUCUCAACAAUUCUUUGCAUUCCAACAAUUUUUUCAAAUUAUCUUUUAGAAAAAAAAUUUAAACUUGAUCCAUUCAACUUAACAUUCACUAAACAUCUACGAUUUGUCUGAGGCCACUUUAAAUAUGUUUUAUUAAAUUAUGAACUUGAUAAAGACUAAACUUCAGAUAUUUUAAACUGAAGUUGUGGUAUUAACAAAGCUUCUAUAAAUAAUUAAUUUCCAUUUUAUUACAGUAUAUUUCGGGAUUUUGUGGCGGCUGUUGUCGCCGCUAAAUGUUUAGUUCUUUUGUAGUGAAUCCUAGUUGACAACGCUUAGGUGGAAGGAUUAGUCCACGUGGCUUGCCAUGUCACUAAAAAUUUGGGAUGUUAACUCUUGAGGGUAUUUGAAGUCUCUUAGGAUAACAGCAGGGACAUUUUUUAUCCGAAAAUAUAACGAAGGGUAUAAAUGGUCUAUUUCGCAUAGUUCAGGGGCAAUUUUGACCCUUUUUCGUAUUAUAUAAUAUAUAUAUAUAAAUGAAUAUGCGAUAACUUUAUCUCCAUGAAUUUAAGAAACUUUACUUGCAUUGUAUUAUGGGUCUACAAAAUAAAUAUGGGCGAAAGCUAUAAUUUUGCUUACAUAUUCAAUAUUAAAAUUUAAUAAUUUUAAAUCAAAUUAUGUAUUUAUGUUGAUAUCUCUUCUAAGUUUCGAUAUUUCAAAAAUGAUCUUUUUUUGAGAUUUGAUUAAUUUGGAUUUGCGGAGCCAUAAAAUCUCAUUUUAAAAAUAAAAUGCUCUUUCUUAAAGGCAAUUUCACAUUAAGGAUUUGAAUUCAAGACAUUUAAUUAAAGAUGAAUGAGUACCAAUUAACCAUUCCAUCACUAAUCCUUAAUCAGUUCAAAUUAUACUCUCUUCAUUUUAAUUAUUUGUUCGGUUUUAACUUGACGUAAGGUAAAGAGUUUUUUUGAAUCUCGUGAUUUUAAAUUAAAGAUACGUAGAAUGUAUCAAAAUGUUUUUAAAUCUUAUAUAAGUCAUGUAUAAAGUUAAAUUAACGAGUAUUCAGAAAAGAAAAGAUAAGUUAUUUUUUAAACAAACUAAAAUAAAAAGUAGGACAAAAAUAAAUUGAAACGAUGGAAAUAUUGUUAAUGUUGAAUACCAUUGAAUAAUGUUACAACUUACAAACAUUUAAUUUUGAUCACCGUGCAUGGACAUGCCUUCUGGAAAAUUGGAAUUAUAUCCAAAAAUAGCAAAUCACUUCCAAUUCAGGAAAUAGGUUCCCAUAACUAUUGGACUUUCUUGAAUAUAUAUAAAUAAUUUUGUCUUUCAAUGAUUGGUGUUAUUGAAUACUCCUAUAAUAUAGUUUUUUAUUCGAUGUUCGGUACUAAGCCCGACUAAAUUUGAAUUGACGUCGAGAAAAUGCUUUCUAUCAAAGGCAGUCGAUUCCAUAUCCAAGAAGACUCGAAUCUGAAACAUUUGAUUAAGAAUGAAUGAGUACUUAUUAUUUUAUCAGAACGACACAACCCUUGUUGGUAUAAUUUAGUUAUUAUUCAUUAAAUUUAGGAAAAAUUAUAUAAAAUAACAAACUAUUAAUUCAAAUUAAAUGAUAUAACCACAGUUUGAUUUAAUUGUAACCUGUAGCAAACAAUUGUCAUUCGCCUCUCGCCCUGAAUUUCUCGCUCGCCACUUUCCAUUUCUCGCUGCCAGUCUCUCCCUCGCCUCUCUCACUUUAUACAAACACAAAUGUAUAAAAUGCGUUUGUGUUUGUAUAAAGCGAGAGAAAACUGUAUAUAUACAUAUCUUUUCGUUCGCCUCUCUCCCCAGAGAAUCUCGCUCGCCUCUCUCACUUUUAUACAAACACAGAUGUAUAAGAGAAGGGAGGGGAACUAGACUCUGCCUCUUCUAUUACAUGUACAUUACAUUACGGAGAAGUCCAUUCUCGUCAUGAUCGAUCCACGUCCUACGCAUUGAAUUUCUAGUAGUAGAUCCAUAAUAAAAAAAAAGUCUUUGUGAUUGUUCCAGAAGAAAUGAAACAAAAGAUAUGGUAGAGCUAGGACGGUUAUUGUAUGAGGUCUACCCAAUGCUAGAUGCAGAGGCACACAAUAGAUCGAUAUGAACAUCAUGAGCUGCCCCGUAAUAAAAAUCAAAAUUGUGUUUGUGUUUAUAUAAAGCGAGAGAAAAUUGUAUAUAAAAAUGCAAAUACAUAUAUUUUCGUCUUAUACACUUAUAAUUAUAUAAAUACAGAAUUUUCCCUGCCCAAUUUUCUUUUGUCUUUCUCUUUUUCUCGCUUUAUACAAUCACAAAUUAUACAAUUGAUUCUUUUGUAUAUGUAUUCCGAAAUAUACAUAUUUAACGCAAUUAUACAAACUAUAGCUAUAGCAUACAAAUAUGAUUUUUAUGUUUGCUAAACCUAAAAUUUACUCAAAAUUUAUCCAACUACUCAUAUAUGGCCAUAUAUAGCUAGUUUAAUUAAUUUCUUGGUCCAUCGCUUUAUUACUUUUAACUUACAUAUUUUUAUUUUUAUUUUAAAAUAAUAAUAGUUGAAGUGGAAUAAUUUCCACGUGGAUCCAAUAAAGUAUAGUAUAUAGGGAAAAAUAAGUCAAUUAAUUGACAACUUCAAUUUGAUUUUUUCUUCAUAUAUAGCAUAGAAUAUAAAAUUGAAAAAGACGAGACAGAAAAAUUUAAGUUGACAAUAAGAUUCUGAAGAUUUAUUGCUAAACUUCCAACCACUAUUGAAAUAGAAAAUAAUAAUAGUAUCUAUAAAUUUUAUAGCUAAAUAGUAAAAUUUAUCGUCGAUUUUAUUUUAUAACAGACUAGUGCAGAAUUAUUAAAAAAUAAUUAGCUAUAAAUACCUUGCAACGAAUUAAUAAUAAAGUUCAUAGUUAAUUUCAAUUUACAUAAAACGACAAACCCAAAAAAGUUCUUUUCCCUUUAAGGGAUCAAUCAUUUUCAAUCACCUCAAUGGAACUUUUACGAAAAAAAACAAAAGGCAUCACGAUAAAGUGCAUAGCGCAUAUAUACUACAAUUGAUGAAAAAAAGAUUUGGUCUUUCAUUACCAAUUCUUUUCAUUUUCGAUUCGGGAUGAGUGGUCGACGUUAGAAUGCGAUGGUUCUUUAAUUAAAAGUCUCGAGUUUAAAUUUUGAUAUAUGAAAAUUCUUGAUAACGAGUGUUUUUUUGUCCAAUGAAGUUGAGGGAUAAAUUUAGAUUAGUCAAACUUCAAUAUAGGUAUCAAACAGAACCAAAAAAAAUCGGCGGUCGACACUUCUUUUUUUUUUUGGAUCGACACAUUUGUUAAUAUUAGUAGUACUUUAAAAAAAGUCGAAUCCAUUGAACAAAGACAACCUAUCUUAUCAAUUAGAAUUUUUUAUUUGAUUUACUUUGGGACUUGUAAAUUUGACUUGUUGUCAAGUACAUUACACAUGAAUGGUUUAUAAUAUUUGCAACUUAUUGACACAAAUAAAGUUCCCAUAAAAAUUAAAAAAACACUAUUAGAAUAUGAUCUUUCACCAAACAAAAAAAAAAAGGUUACCUUUUCUUCAUCAUCAUCAUCAUCAUGUUUUUAAUGAGUUUAAAAUUGAACAAACAAAAAGGAAUUCAAUAUCUUUAUAGACUAACGAUUUUGAAUGUGAUAAUAUUAAUUCAAUUGUCGCUAAAUAUGUUUGCGAAGGAAAGUUUCAAUUGAAAGUAUUCAUCAACUUAUUCAUACAAAUUAAGUCAUAAAGAUAAUCUUGAGAUUAUGUAAGAUUGGUUUAGGAAUUAAUUAAUCUUGAGAAGUCAUACUAUUAAUUAGUUUGAAGCAUAAAAGCAUGCAUGCACUUUUUAUCUUCACUUUAAAAUAAGGGCUAACCCAUCGGUGGCCCCCUAAACUUGGCACGAUCUUUCACUUAGACACCUUAACUAGGCUUUGUUCAUUUUAGACACCUCAUGUCAGGCUCCGUUGUGUCAUUUUGACACUUUUUUCACUAGCACAUGUUGACUUCAAGUGCGUGUUAACCAAGCGCGUCCAUAUGGAUUAGAUGCCCAAUUAUAUCAUGCCAACUCAUUAAAAGACUAUCAUAUUAAAGAGGAAAAAUAAGAAUUAAAAUACAUGACAAAGUAACCAAUGAAUAAAUGACAUGUGGUCUUUUUAUCCCAAAAAAUUAAAUUAAAUAUUUGACAAAUUUAAAGAAAAAUGCAACCCCCACAACAUCCCUAGUCAUCUUCUCCAUUGUAUUACUCCAUUUUUAUUAUUUUUGAGCUUUAUUCUUUCUGUCAUAAACCCACACCCACACAAUCUACUCUAUCAUAUUCCGUCAUUUUCAUUACCUUUUCCGUCACACCCAUAACCACACAGCCAUCUUCCCCGUUUUAUUCCUCUUUUUCAUGAUUUUUUCUGCCAUAUUCCCCAUUCAUUGCACCCUCCCUUAGGGCUAAAAGGUGCAAAUGUAUAACAACAAUGGUUCAUAUUUUAAAGAUUGCGUCUCUUUUUCUUUAAUUUUGUGAUAUUUGCAGUUUAAUUAGGGCUCAAGGUUAGUGAGAUUAACAUUUACAUAGUAAAAAUUGAGAUUUUUUGGCUCCUAUUUUAGGAUUAUUGUGGGUGAACUUUACAUGAUUUAGGGUGUUGUUGAUAUGAGUUCGAUUUCUUGUUUCUUUUUGGGUCUAUCUGAGUUUGUAGUGCGAAAGAAAUAAUGGGAGAAAUAAUGGCAAUAAAAUGGGAAAGAAGAAGAGAAAAAAUAAAAUAAAAUAGACUAAAUAAGUCCCUCACGCGUCAAUAGCAAGUGUAUAACACUCACUUUGCCAUGUCAGCUGAAAGUGUCAAAAUGACACAACGGAGCCUGACAUGAGGUGUCUAAAAUGAACAAAGCCUAGUUAAGGUGUCUAAGUGAAAGAUCGUGCCAAGUUUAGGGGGCCACCGAUGGGUUAGCCCUUAAAAUAAUGUAAUUAAGUUUUAAAUGAGAUAUUCACAAUUAGUUUCCUUCACAAAUUACUCUUUAUUUCUAAUAUAUGUACUAUAUAUCCUCUCAUAUGCAAUUGUCUCCAUCAAUUAAUCUUUUAUAAUAUAUGUGUACGUUUUAUAUCCUCUUAUAUGCAAUUGUUUCCAUCAGUUUAUCGAAAAGUUAGAUAUUUAUACUAUUUUUUGUUGAACGGACAUAAGAGUAAAUGACCAAGAAGCUCUUUUAAAGUACUAUCACAUAAAAAGGCAUCAAUAAAGUCAUCCUCAUGGUAACAAUAUAUUUAGUAUAAUUUUACAAGCAUCAACAAAAAUAAAAUUAUUCUUUCUGUCAAAUAUCGUUACUACUACAACAUGUCAAAUUUAAAUUUCACAAGUGAUACUGUCUGGAGAUCGAUGAUAGGCUAUGCACAUACAUAUCUCUACUUUUGUAAAGUAAAGAGAUACUAUUUCUGAUAGACAUCGACUAAAAAUGACAUAAACAUUCAACCCU